UGGAUGAGAGCCACUCUGGCUAGCCAAGAAGACCGGCCCAUGCAGCCACAUUGCACAUCCAUCACAAGAAUUUCUUCAGAAACCCUUAAUUUGCCACUGCCAUGGCUUUGAUGGACUAUGGAUGAGCCAACAGAAGACAAAAGCAUAGGCAAGUCAUUCUUGGCUACCAAAGGGAGUAGCCUCUCCA
This 187-nucleotide microRNA precursor is filed under the name Leersia perrieri. The record is from RNAcentral. Lineage: Eukaryota; Viridiplantae; Streptophyta; Magnoliopsida; Poales; Poaceae.